AUGUACGACCAUAGCUUCUGGAGAACUCGGGAUCCCGUCCGCUCUCCCAUAGAUAAGCCAGAAAGCGCCAAAGUCAGUAGUUGGGUUGGUGACAACCAGCGAAUCCUUGGUGUUGUACAUU
This 121-nucleotide ribosomal RNA is filed under the name Rosellinia necatrix. Lineage: Eukaryota; Fungi; Ascomycota; Sordariomycetes; Xylariales; Xylariaceae. The record is from RNAcentral.